RNAcentral lists this ribosomal RNA (868 nucleotides) under uncultured marine group I thaumarchaeote. RNAcentral describes it as "SSU rRNA". It matches the Rfam family "Archaeal small subunit ribosomal RNA", at positions 25 to 901 of the family's 1478-position model. Lineage: Archaea; Thermoproteati; Nitrososphaerota. The record is from RNAcentral.
GACUGCUAUCGGAUGAUACUAAGCCAUGCGAGUCAUUGUAGCAAUACAAGGCAGACGGCUCAGUAACGCGUAGUCAACCUACCCUAUGGACGGGAAUAACCUCGGGAAACUGAGUAUAAUGCCCGAUAGAACAUUAUGCCUGGAAUGGUUUAUGUUCCAAAUGAUUUAUCGCCGUAGGAUGGGACUGCGGCCUAUCAGUUUGUUGGUGAGGUAAUGGCCCACCAAGACUAUUACAGGUACGGGCUCUGAGAGGAGUAGCCCGGAGAUGGGUACUGAGACACGGACCCAGGCCCUAUGGGGCGCAGCAGGCGAGAAAACUUUGCAAUGUGCGAAAGCACGACAAGGUUAAUCCGAGUGGUUUCUGCUAAAGGAACCUUUUGUUAGUCCUAAAAACACUAACGAAUAAGGGGUGGGCAAGUUCUGGUGUCAGCCGCCGCGGUAAAACCAGCACCUCAAGUGGUCAGGAUGAUUAUUGGGCCUAAAGCAUCCGUAGCCUGCUCUGUAAGUUUUCGGUUAAAUCUGUAUGCUCAACAUACAGGCCGCCGGAAAUACUGCAGGGCUAGGGAGUGGGAGAGGUAGACGGUACUCGGGAGGAAGUGGUAAAAUCCUUUGAUCUAUUGAUGACCACCUGUGGCGAAGGCGGUCUACCAGAACACGUUCGACGGUGAGGGAUGAAAGCUGGGGGAGCAAACCGGAUUAGAUACCCGGGUAGUCCCAGCCGUAAACGAUGCAGACUCGAUGAUGCAUUGGCAUAAUAGCCAAUGCAGUGUCGCAGGGAAGCCGUUAAGUCUACCGCCUGGGAAGUACGUACGCAAGUAUGAAACUUAAAGGAUUAGCGGGGAGCACCACAAGGGGUGAAGCCUGCGGU